Molecule: ribosomal RNA, 253 nt
Filed under: uncultured bacterium
Lineage: Bacteria
Description: partial 16S ribosomal RNA
Rfam family: Bacterial small subunit ribosomal RNA
Source: RNAcentral
UACGAAGGGGGCUAGCGUUGUUCGGAAUUACUGGGCGUAAAGCGCACGUAGGCGGAUAUUUAAGUCAGGGGUGAAAUCCCAGAGCUCAACUCUGGAACUGCCUUUGAUACUGGGUAUCUUGAGUAUGGAAGAGGUAAGUGGAAUUGCGAGUGUAGAGGUGAAAUUCGUAGAUAUUCGCAGGAACACCAGUGGCGAAGGCGGCUUACUGGUCCAUAACUGACGCUGAGGUGCGAAGGCGUGGGGAGCAAACAGG